This 575-nucleotide ribosomal RNA is filed under the name uncultured bacterium. RNAcentral describes it as "partial 16S ribosomal RNA". It matches the Rfam family "Bacterial small subunit ribosomal RNA", at positions 355 to 923 of the family's 1533-position model. The record is from RNAcentral.
UGGGGAAUUUUGGACAAUGGGGGAAACCCUGAUCCAGCCAUCCCGCGUGUGCGAUGAAGGCCUUCGGGUUGUAAAGCACUUUUGGCAGGAAAGAAACGUCGCGGGUUAAUACCCCGCGAAACUGACGGUACCUGCAGAAUAAGCACCGGCUAACUACGUGCCAGCAGCCGCGGUAAUACGUAGGGUGCAAGCGUUAAUCGGAAUUACUGGGCGUAAAGCGUGCGCAGGCGGUUCGGAAAGAAAGAUGUGAAAUCCCAGAGCUUAACUUUGGAACUGCAUUUUUAACUACCGGGCUAGAGUGUGUCAGAGGGAGGUGGAAUUCCGCGUGUAGCAGUGAAAUGCGUAGAUAUGCGGAGGAACACCGAUGGCGAAGGCAGCCUCCUGGGAUAACACUGACGCUCAUGCACGAAAGCGUGGGGAGCAAACAGGAUUAGAUACCCUGGUAGUCCACGCCCUAAACGAUGUCAACUAGCUGUUGGGGCCUUCGGGCCUUGGUAGCGCAGCUAACGCGUGAAGUUGACCGCCUGAGGAGUACGGUCGCAAGAUUAAAACUUAAAUGAAUUGACGGGGUCAUA